This 877-nucleotide long non-coding RNA is filed under the name Mytilus galloprovincialis (Mediterranean mussel). The record is from RNAcentral. Lineage: Eukaryota; Metazoa; Mollusca; Bivalvia; Mytilida; Mytilidae.
UGGUAGGAUAAAUCAUGAAGUAAACGCGAUGCAACAGUUAAACAAGUUCGUUGAUGCUACGAGAAGGAGCAUACUCAUGCAGUAAUGAGAUUUUGACAAUCUGUUUUUGAAAAGGGGCACCAACUUUUAAGUUAUAUGAAAAUGACCGAAAUUAGGUGAAAAAAUUUCCGGAUCCUUGAAAUUUCAGAUAGUUUAUUAGACAAUGAAUUUUCUCUAUUUGUGAGAGUUUUGUCCACUUCAAAAGCAGUCUUGAGAAUUUCAUGUGGACCACCAGACCGUUCACCUAUAUCACUGAGACGCACAUAGUAUUUAUACAUAAUAUAAAAAAGAAGAUGUGGUAUGAUUGCCAAUGAGACAACUAUCCACAAAAGACCAAAACGACACAGACAUUAACAACUAUAGGUCACCGUACGGCCUUCAACAAUGAGCAAAGCCCAUACCACAUAGUCAGCUAUAAUAGGCCCUGAUAAGACAAUGUAAAACAAUUCAAACGAGAAAAUUAACGGCCUUAUUUAUGUAAAAAAAUGAACGAAAAACAAAUAUGUAACACAUAAACAAACGACAACCACUGAAUUACAGGCUCCUGACUUGGGACAGGCACAUACAUAAAUAAUGUGGCGGGGUUAAACAUGUUAGUUGAUAACAUAAGUUGAUAACAUGUAAUGCUAAUGGGUAAUGUGCCAAAUUCACACUGCACUGCUAGAUUGGAAGACUUUCCAUGAACCCCAAGUAUGUUUUUAAAUAUGGUUUUUGUGUUUUUUCUAAUUUACUUUUGUCUAAUGCUUCAAAAUUUGGUUUGACUUCUGAUAUCCAUACUUGAAUACUUCUGAUCCACGCUUCAUACAAAAUGUACUUCAAGCAACGCUUUUACACCCCA